This 253-nucleotide ribosomal RNA is filed under the name uncultured bacterium. RNAcentral describes it as "partial 16S ribosomal RNA". It matches the Rfam family "Bacterial small subunit ribosomal RNA", at positions 524 to 776 of the family's 1533-position model. The record is from RNAcentral.
UACAGAGGGUGCGAGCGUUAAUCGGAAUUACUGGGCGUAAAGCGUGCGUAGACGGCUAUCUAAGUCGGGUGUGAAAGCCCCGGGCUCAACCUGGGAAUGGCGAUGGAGACUGCAAGGCUAGAGUUUGGCAGAGGGGGGUAGAAUUCCACGUGUAGCAGUGAAAUGCGUAGAUAUGUGGAGGAACACCGAUGGCGAAGGCAGCCCCCUGGGUCAAAACUGACGCUCAUGCACGAAAGCGUGGGGAGCAAACAGG